CUUCUAAUGUAUGUUUCUUUUAAAGUCAUGGUUUGAUUUUUGAACCAUUAAGAAUGUUCAAAUGUUUGGAAGGCAGAAAAUAUACUAAAGCAUUAACAGUGACUAUCCCGUCACGCUUUCUUUUCUCUUAGAUUUUUAUGAUCAAAGGAAACACUUUUUAGAAAUGAUCUUUGGCGACCUAUUUCCACUAGGUCGUCGGGAAGGAGAGCCAGGAAGCAGACUGCUGCUACGAAGAUGACGAUGCGUCUGUUUUUGGAUAGCAAAGACCUGAACACAGAGGGUUUGGGGAUGCUGUGCGGAAAGCACACGAAAGGACGAGGCCAGAGUUCCGGGCGGAGAACUGGGAUCGGGCGCCAGGCUCGCACUCUGUGGCCCGCCCAGAAGUGCAAGGAGUGAUGAGAAAAGGGGAUGCUGGUCUGUAGCGGGUACCACGCCAAGUAUACAAGCGGGUACCACGCCAAGGAUACAGCAGAGCCCGACCUCCUCCCGGAAGCUCGUCACACCUCUCUCACAGGCUCCGAGGUGGGCGGGGAGGCGAGCACCGGAAGGGGCGGUGCUUUGGGCGGGGCCUGAGCGGGGCUCUCGCGAGAGCAGUGGAGAGCGGAAGCGCAGUGUGUACAGGAUGCGGUUCCUAGCUGCGUUGCUCCUGCUGAGUGUCGCAGUGGCGGGUAAGGACCCCCCCUCCCCUCCUACCCCACUGUCGUCCCCGGGCCGGUCCCCUUCACUCACCCCUCCAGCCGCCAUCUGCCCCUGCCUUUUCCCUGUCGUGCGGAGCCCUCCGCUUGCUCUCGCUCCCGCUCGCCCUUCCCGAGCUCGCCCCUCGCCCUCGGUGUCCCCAGCGCCCGGAGUGCCCUGCUCUUCUCCCGCCGGCCCCGCCCCCGCCCUCACUGGUUUCCUGUUUCUGUAGCCCAGCCGCCUGCGUCGCCGCCAGUCCCGAAACCAAGUUCCAGCACCGGGCAACGGACGGCUGCGCCUCAGUCACCUGCGGACGGCGGCGCCUGCAGCCCCUCCCCCGCGACCCCGCUGUCUCGUUCGGGAGAUCCGCGGCCUCGGUCGGGGGAGCCACCCGCGGGAGCAGACCGAGGCCCGUCGGAGGCGCGCGGGCAGCCGCCCCCGAAACCACAGCCUCACAAGUCGGAAGCGCAGCAGCCCCCACAGAACCCAAACUCUGACAGUUCGCGAGCUCUGCAGCAGUCCUCCCGGAAGCUAGCGCCCCCCAAGUCCGAGGCGCCGCAGUCUCUGAAGCCAAACCCAGACGGGUCGGAGUUGAAAGAGCAAACCCCCAAGAACGCAGAACCUGGCACGCUAGAGGCCCAGGAGUCCCCAAAACCGGACUCCAGCAGGGCCGAGGCGCCGCAGUCCACUCAACCAGACCCAGACGGGGCGCAGGCGCGGCAGCCGCCCCCAGGACAAGACCCCGGUAGGUCCGAAGAGCCGCAGACCGCAAAACCAAACCCCAGCAAGGUGGACGCGGUGCCGCAGUCCACACAAGAAGGCUCCAAGCGCGUGUCCAACCCCUCCGCUGGCAGCAAGGGCGGCCCGGAGAUUGAAAAAACCCAACUGCCUGAGAAGGGAGAGACCUCGCCCCGCGCGUCCCAGGCUGAAGAGACAGUGGACUCCAACCCCUCUGGUCCCGGGCAGGAGGGAGAAGACAAAUCUGCAGAGACUGUUCAAGAUGUGGACGUCAAGGAGGCGGAAGAAGGCGAUGCAGGGGCGGAGGAGGGAUCGCCUCCUGAAGAAGAGAAAGGAAAGAUGCCAGGGCCUGCCUCCAGUGAAACCCGGGAAGGGACACUUUUGGAUUCCGUGAAUAGUGAGAAGGGCGACCUUUAUAAUACCCCUAGAAGUGCCAGUGCGGAGAGCAGCCACUUCUUCGCGUAUCUGGUGACCGCAGCCAUUCUUGUCGCUGUCCUCUAUAUUGCCUAUCACAACAAGCGGAAGAUUAUUGCUUUUGCCCUGGAAGGAAAAAGAUCCAAGGUCACUCGGCGACCCAAAGCCAGUGACUACCAGCGUUUGAACCUCAAGCUUUGAUUUGUAACUACAAGAACCUUGUCCUCCCUGCUGAUUUGUUUCCGAAUCAAGAAAAAUGAAGAAAAAAGCAAUGUGACCUCGGGGUUUGAUGGCAGAAGUCUGGCAGAG
RNAcentral lists this long non-coding RNA (2136 nucleotides) under Chinchilla lanigera (long-tailed chinchilla). RNAcentral describes it as "lncRNA (ENSCLAG00000028371.1)". Lineage: Eukaryota; Metazoa; Chordata; Mammalia; Rodentia; Chinchillidae. The record is from RNAcentral.